RNAcentral lists this long non-coding RNA (2314 nucleotides) under Marmota monax (woodchuck). The record is from RNAcentral. Lineage: Eukaryota; Metazoa; Chordata; Mammalia; Rodentia; Sciuridae.
CAAAGGGGAUCUCCCUAAGUUGCUUAGGGCCUUGCUAAAUUGCUGAGUUUGAAUUCAAACUUGCAAUCCUCCUGCUUCAGCCACCCAAGUGGUUAGAAUUACAGUGAAACACAAGUUUCAAAUUGCAUGAUGAACAUAGCCUUCUUUCAAUAUAUCUCAAGGACAGGCAAACAUAUAACCUCAUUUGGGGCUAAUGUCAAAAGUCUAUGUUAUGCUCAAAUUCGGAACCCCCAAAAGACCACCAGAGACCAAGAUCGAUGUAAGCAGCAAAGACGUGUUUAUUGUAAGCUAGCUCGGUCCUCCACACUCACACAGCAACUGGUAACGCUGAGAGGCCCCAAGCCCAGGGUUUGCAGCAGUUUUAUACACACUUUGGGGAAGGCAGGGACUUCACAUACAUCAUAGCAUCUCUUAGCAAAUCAUCACACACCGAGGGAAAAUCAUAAAACAACUCUAAAACAUGAUUAGCACAUUCACUGGUGGGAACAAGUUGGGUAAGGGUGAUUGGUUACUACAAGAGGGGGAUUCAUUUGAACUGAUUGGUUUAAGCCAUGAGGGGAGUAGUGCUGAACUACAUGGUUUCCCAACAUGUUAUCAACCACCAUAAACUACUGGGAGGGUCAUCUGGCAUCCCAGGUAUUUUCCUGGUCUCAUGCUGAUUGGUGGCUGCUAGGGGGUUGCUAUGGGUCCCCACCUAGCCUGACUGAGUCAGGGACACCUGGCUCAGCAGAUCUCUCCUGUUAUUUGUAGAUAAACAAGGGUAUGUGCCUAGGAGUGCUCUGUGGGUCUUUCCAAGGACAAGGGUCACGCCCCCUUCCUUGGACAGGCUUUGCUCUGAGGUAGGGGCUGGUUUUUCAUCUGCCAUACCAGGCAAGGUGGCACAAGCCAGUAAUCCCAGCUGAGGCUGAGGCAGGAGAAUUGCAAGUUGAAGGCCAGUCUCAGCAACUUAGUGAGGCCCUAAGCAAUUUAGCAACACUCUGUCUCAAAAUAAAUAAAAAGGACUAGGGAUGUGGCUCAAUGGUUAAAUGCCCUUGAGUUCAAUUCUUGGUACCAAAAACAAACAAACAAACACAAAAAGUGUCUACUCAUACUCAGGAGGGCUUUCAACAGGAGGACCAGGUCACAAGCUCUCCUGCAGCUCUGGUCCAGCCUCCAGGCUGUCCCUGCAUAUUUUGCUUUCAUAUUUUAAUGCUGAUCUGCCAACUGCACACUGUAUAUCUCUGAAGCUCAAGUUGGGACCUUCAAGCAUGUGCUUUCCCUAUGCUACCUAUUUUCUGUUACUGAGAUUUAUAUUACCUUAUGUUUUGUUUCUGGACCUAAUAGUAACAAAACAGAACCAUGGGCUGGGGAUGUGGCUCAAGCGGUGGCGCGCUCGCCUGGCAUGCGUGCGGCCUGGGUUCAAUCCUCAGCACCACAUACAAACAAAGAUGUUGUGUCUGCCGAAAACUAAAAAAAAUAAAUAUUAAAAAUUGUCUCUCUCUUAAAACAAAACAAACAAACAAACAACAACAAAAAAAAACAGACCCACAUAUAUUGGGAGCCAUGACUCUCCCUCAAAAUCAAAAUCCCUCCCAAGAGUCAGUGACUCUUUUCCAACCCAUCGGGGAAGGAUGAGCUGUUAGGAUCUCUGUGUCUACAGUCUGUUGGAAAAAAGGCCAUCCCCUGGGCCAGUUGCUGCCUGGAAAACUCUCCUCUUAUUCAAAGAUCUUUUCCCUUUUGGUUGCUUCCUGCCUCUUACUGCAAUUGUCUCCCUGGCAGAGGAACCACCUGCCUUGGUUCUCUGGGGACUGAACACAGCCAAUUGACCUCGGGGUUUCUGUUUAACUACAUCAUGCCUGUGUGGAAUGGGUUGUGGUUGAUAGAGGUUAUGUAACUUGCCCAAAGUUUUUCUGCUAGCAAAUCACAAAGCAAUAUCACUAAAAUCCAUUUUUUCACUCCACUGUGCUAGGUAAUUCACUAAAUUUGGGGGUAGUUUGUUAUGCAACAACAGAUAAUCAGAACAUUCCCACAGAACUGAUGCACGGAUCCUACCCAGGAAAAUGCUAAAGUGGCAUUUAGCAAAAAUGUUAAAGUCUGUGGGAUCAAUCCUCUGCUCAAAUGUAUACACAACAAGAAGUUUGGCUGAGUGGCCUAUUCCUUCUGACUUUUACCAAAUAUUUGUACUGAGAGUUGUCAAUUAAAUAAAAAUCUCCCAACUCUCCUAUCUUGUGACUGACCUCUUUUUCUUUCCUUUGUGGAACUAAUGGAAUGUUUUGUUAUUCCUUAUGAAAUUUGUGGUAACUCCAUUAAAAAAAAAGAAAUAUGAUUAACUGAU